Lemur catta (Ring-tailed lemur) is the source of this 1691-nucleotide RNA transcript. RefSeq lists it as uncharacterized. The transcript has a single exon. The record is from RefSeq and is a predicted model, not a curated record. NCBI's taxonomy places the organism in Eukaryota, Metazoa, Chordata, Mammalia, Primates, Lemuridae.
CGGUGCGAAUCUCUCUCAUCUGAGCCCCCUGGCGGCGCCGCCCGCCGGCAGACACGGCCCGGGCAGCACCAGGCCCCGACGCCCUCCAGGAACCGCCAGGCUCUCUCCCGACCUUCCCAACCUUCCAGAAAGCCUGGUCCGCAGAAGCCCUGCCUGGUCCAGCUCCGCGGGCGGCCAGGCCAACUGCAAGAUUCUGGACUGUUUUGGUAGCAUCCAAAGACGAUCUCAGAGCACUUUGAACCUCUCUGUUGGGUUUUCUUUUUGUUCCCCACCCUUCACUUGCUUCACUGUUGUUUUUUUUUUUUUUUUUUUUAAGUUUGUUUUGGAAAUAACAAAAAAGAUAUUUAUUGGCCAGGAAGUUGGUGCUGCUAAGACCGAGAAAUUAAAAGAAUCGGACAGAUGGACGCAGAGAACCACAGGGCAGCGUGGGACCUUCUCUUGCCGUGGCCUCAGGUCUCGAGGGAAGGCUCAGGCCUGGGUUUCUGGACUGCAGAGGGGACCCCGAGGUGAGAGGGGGUAGGAGGUCGCCGGAGCGCGCCCUUCGCCCCUGGGUGCCCCGCUGGUACCUCUCGAGCUGUGCCCUACAUCGCUGAGCAGAGGGAUGCGGCAGCCGCCAGGGCUGUCCAGGCUUCAGGAGGCGGAAACGAGAGAGGGGCCGGGAGAUCCGCAGGACCAAAGGGUGCAGUGAUGGGCUGGGUGGCGGGCCCAGGGAAAUGGGGUAGGGGUGGGCCGGGUAAGACCUGGCCCUCCCUCGCUGCCCUGAAGACCACCCCAGUCUACCUCGGUGCUGGCCAGGAAACCUAUAGGCUACCUCUCCCGCCAUCCCAGACUGUGGGCAGGGGGAUGGGGAGGGAGCGGGCCUGGGGCUGGGACCCCGCUCCAGAAUUUCCUCCAGAUGGGGGCAGUGUCCAGGGAGGGGUCAUUUGUCUUCCCUGCCAUGGAGGGGGAAUCCCCAGCCCAGGCCCUAGGCCCCUCAGCAGGGAAGGGAUCCUCGGGGAGGCGGGUCCCAGGAGCAGACCCUGUCCCCAGCCCCCACGGCACACCCCAAUCUGAAAGCCAUGCGUGUCCGUGUAUAUAGGAACCAUGUACAGAGCCCGGAGAAGCCCCCCACGUCCCCCCGGGAAAAAAAGAAAACUAGACAGAAACUCAUCUAUAUAUUCUGUAUCUGGAGUUCCGUUUUGAAUAUUAACUGUGUUAUUUUUAUACACUUUUUAAGCCUUAACUCGCCAUUGAUUUACCAGUUUAACGUUUCCUGGGGUUUCUUUUCCCAUGGGGUUCUCUGGCCCCACCCCCACCCCUUUGUUUGACUUGCGUCGUCUGAUAAACUCAGUAUUGUAGCUUUUUGUCCGCAUGUUACUACCCUGUAAAUACGCUGUUAUACAUACUGUUAACACCCCUUUGCUUUUUUCUAUGGGACCUCCAGGCCACCAUAUUUAGAACUAGUUACCUUAUUAAAAAAGAGAAAACAGUCUGUUGGCUUCUCAGUCUGCAUCUUGGUGGCAGGGAGGUGAGGGCAGGUGCCCCUCAGACACUUCAGGAAAGAAGUUUGCAUUCUAUUUAAAAAAGGGGGUGGGGAGCAAAAUAAUCAAAUGUGGGGGAAAAACACUAAAGGGGGCAAGAAACAAAGGAAUUACAAACCCUCUGCUCUUUGUAUUGCUCUGUUGUGAAGAAUAAACUGUACCUGCACCCGG